This 491-nucleotide ribosomal RNA is filed under the name uncultured bacterium. RNAcentral describes it as "partial 16S ribosomal RNA". It matches the Rfam family "Bacterial small subunit ribosomal RNA", at positions 28 to 507 of the family's 1533-position model. The record is from RNAcentral.
GAUGAACGCUGGCUACAGGCUUAACACAUGCAAGUCGAGGGGAAACGACGGGGAAGCUUGCUUCCCCGGGCGUCGACCGGCGCACGGGUGAGUAACGCGUAUCCAACCUGCCUCUGACUGAGGGAUAACCCGUCGAAAGUCGGCCUAAUACCUCAUGGCAUCGUCUGCGGGCAUCCAACGACGAUUAAAGAUUUCAUCGGUCAGAGAUGGGGAUGCGUCUGAUUAGCUUGUUGGCGGGGUAACGGCCCACCAAGGCGACGAUCAGUAGGGGUUCUGAGAGGAAGGUCCCCCACAUUGGAACUGAGACACGGUCCAAACUCCUACGGGAGGCAGCAGUGAGGAAUAUUGGUCAAUGGGCGAGAGCCUGAACCAGCCAAGUAGCGUGCAGGAUGACGGCCCUAUGGGUUGUAAACUGCUUUUAUGCGGGGAUAAAGUGAGGGACGUGUCCUUCAUUGCAGGUACCGCAUGAAUAAGGACCGGCUAAGUCCGUG